Gossypium hirsutum (cotton) is the source of this 107-nucleotide non-coding RNA. The record is from Rfam. Lineage: Eukaryota; Viridiplantae; Streptophyta; Magnoliopsida; Malvales; Malvaceae.
AUGCCAUGAUGAGGACAUUUACAAUGUAACUUCUUGAAAUGCUCUUAAGCCUCAUAUAAAGACUCGUCAUCUAAUUGUUAGAAAGUUGUGAUCUCGUUCCUCAACUU